GAUUAACGCUGGCGGCGUGCCUAACACAUGCAAGUCGAGCGGCAGCGAGUUUUACACUGAAUUCUGGAAGCUUCUAGUUGAAAGAGAAGAUUUAUUCAAGAAUUUUGUGUAAAAUGUCGGCGAGCGGCGGACGGCUGAGUAACGCGUGGGAACGUACCCCAAAGUGAGGGAUAACGCAUCGAAAGGUGUGCUAAUACCGCAUAUGGUCUUCGGAUUAAAGCCUUCGGGCGCUUUGGGAACGGCCUGCGUAAGAUUAGAUAGUUGGUGGGGUAAUGGCCUACCAAGUCGACGAUCUUUAACUGGGUGGAGAGGAUGAUCAGUCAGACUGGAACUGAGACACGGUCCAGACUCCUACGGGAGGCAGCAGUGAGGAAUCUUCCACAAUGGGCGAAAGCCUGAUGGAGCAACGCCGCGUGCAGGAUGAAGGCCUUCGGGUUGUAAACUGCUUUUAUAAGUGAGGAUUAUGACAGUAACUUAUGAAUAAGAAUCGGCUAACUACGUG
This 502-nucleotide ribosomal RNA is filed under the name uncultured bacterium. RNAcentral describes it as "partial 16S ribosomal RNA". It matches the Rfam family "Bacterial small subunit ribosomal RNA", at positions 28 to 507 of the family's 1533-position model. The record is from RNAcentral.